UUUUUAAUCUUUCUUUCUUUUUUUUCUUUUUGAAAGUAGAAAACUUCCAUUUCCAUGAAGAAAAGAAUUCUAACUGUUCUUUCUCUCUUCCCACAGGAUCCACUAUUGUCUCUUAGGCAAAAUAACCUUCCCUCCUAGCAGAGACAUGAAUGGGAGAGGAAAUGCACCUGACAUUCUUAGGGUACAAAUGGCUUAAGUACCAAACAGUGAAGCUGAGAGGUCUCCCUUAUAUGCCCUUUUGUAGAAACCAGACAUUUUGAGAUAUCCUGCUCAGCAUCACAACACAUUCCUCUUAGGAAAUGAAACUGUGGAUGACAAUAUUUGACUAAUGAAAACACAUUCCAGAGUUUGAGAAUCACAUAAUUUCAAGACUGGAAAUGGCCUCAGAUAUCAACUUCUACAUUGUACAGAUGAAGAAAGUAACACUAGAAGACUGUGAAUGGCUUUUUUAAAAACUAUUUAGUGGAUGAACCUGGAAUAGAACUUUUGUCUCAUGACUCUCAAUUGAGACUAUUUGGAAGAGAUGCAGCUCCCUUGCUGACCUCAUGUCAUCCCUCCUGAUUUUCUCUACUGACUGAUGUACUUCAAUCGGUUCAAGGGUAGGAUGGGUCCUGUUAGCUCCACUCUACCCAGCCACUAUUACUUCAAGAAGUUGUUUUCAAAAAUGGAAUAUAACCUGAUAUGAGAUGUCAAGGGUGUUUCACCUCUGUGGUAUUCUCGCCCAAAACCCAUAUAAACUAAGGGUCCUAUCAUGAGGCAAAUAGCUGACAAACUCAGAUCUAGAGACAUUCAGGCUACCUGGCCAGUACUAUUCAAACAAACAAAGCCUAAGAAAUUAUCACAGAUCAGGGCAGGCUGAUGAGACAGGACAACUAAAUGCAAUAUGGUAACUGGAUUGGAUCCUGGAACAGAAAGAGAAUGUUAAAGAAAAAGUUGGCAAAAUCCAAAUAGAGUCUGGAAUUUAGUUAAUAAUAAUAUGCCAAUGUCAGUUUCUUAAUUUUGACAAAUGUACCACGGUAAUUUAAGGUGUUAAUGGGGAAAACUGGGUGUGCAGUAUAUAGAAAAUCUAUAUUAUCAUUACACUUUCAUGUGAAGGUAAACUUAUUCCAAAAUAAGAAGCUUACUUUUAAAAUCAGUGUACAUUAAAAUUAUCAGAAAACUACUUUUAAAAAUACCAGUCUCUAGGGCCCAGCCCAGGAGAUUCUGACUUAAUUGUUUUGGCAUGAGGCCCAUGUACAAAGAUUUCAAAGAUACCCAGGUGAUUUCAGUGUGCAGCCAGGGUUGAAAACUCCUGUUCCACAGUUCUGUGUCAGGUAUGUGAGACUGGAAACCACGGGCCAAACCCAGUCUACAGGUAUGUUCCAUUUGGACUGCAAAGAGAUUUUGGAAAUUUUGAAAUGAUUGUCAACAUUUGAAACUUCGGAGAUUUCACAUGAAAAUUGAAAUUUAUGAUUCCUUUUAAUAGAUGGGACAGUUUAACCCAUGCUUUCUGCAUGGCAACUAUGACAUAAUAAAAACUAUAUUUAGUCUUUUUCUCAGGUUGCUGACACACAGCCUCUAAAACCAUUGGAAUUUCCUGAGUGAUAGGGGUAUGUUGUGUUGUUCAGAAUAGACUAUUUUUAACCACAUCUGAGUUUAUGCUAAUGAGGUCACUCAGGUAGCUUCAGGAUGGGGACUGGUCACAAGAAAGACUAAAACUUGAUUAGUGGGUUGGAACUUUCAGCCCCACCCUCUCUGACUUCUGAGAAAUGGAGAGGGGCUGGAGAUUGAGCUCAAACACCAAGGGCCAAUGAUUUAAUCAAUCAAACCUAGAAACAACAAAGUUCAGGAAGUUUUCAGGUUGGUGAAGACGUUGAUACAUGACAGGAGGGUAGUGAGCUCAGAGAGACCACAGAAGCCACACACCCCUUCCCUGAUACUUCACCAUAUGCGUUUCUUUCAUUUGAGUUGUAUCCUUUAUAAUAAACUGGUAAAC
This is a non-coding RNA of Macaca mulatta (Rhesus monkey), 1975 nucleotides long. NCBI's taxonomy places the organism in Eukaryota, Metazoa, Chordata, Mammalia, Primates, Cercopithecidae. The record is from RefSeq and is a predicted model, not a curated record.